Molecule: RNA transcript, 1967 nt
Organism: Rosa rugosa (rugosa rose)
Lineage: Eukaryota; Viridiplantae; Streptophyta; Magnoliopsida; Rosales; Rosaceae
Exons: 8
Source: RefSeq, a predicted model, not a curated record
CGAAACCCACAUUUCGCUAUCUCACAUUUUUCUCUCUCACAUUUCGUUCUCGAACCCUAAACCUAACCCUAACCUCACAAUGUCACGUUCGCUUUUCAAUCUGGAUGAUUACAACGAUGAGGAUGAGCACCACGGUUGGGACCUGCUCGGCGAGUUUGUCGUCUCCGAUGACGGCGCCGGUGUCUCUAACCCCGUCGCCGCGGGUGUCUCUAACCCCGUCGCCGCGGGUGUCUCUAACCCCGUCGCCGCGGGUGUCUCUAACCCCGUCGCCGCCGCUGUCUCUAACCCCGUCGCCGCCGACUCCACUGUGGCCGUCAAGGCGGUGGCUGAAGGUUUUGUGGAGUUUACUGAGGCCGUCAAGGCGAAGGCUGAAGGUUUUGUGGAGUUUACUGAGGCCGUCAAGGCGGUGGUUGAAGGUUUUGUGGAGUUUACUGAGGCCGUCAAGGCGGUGGCUGAAGGUUUUGUGGAGGCCGUCGCCGCCGACUCCACUGAGGCCGUCAAGGCGGCGGCUGAAGGUUUUGUGGAGUUUACUGAGGCCGUCAAGGCGGUGGCUGAAGGUUUUGGAGCGCCUAAAGGCGUCGCCGGACAGAAGUUAAGCCUAGGUUUUCAAAAUCAUCAGUUGGACCAAAUGCAUUAUACUUUUAGUUACGAAAUGGGAAUACUUGAUGUUUUGAAUGUGUGGGAGUGCUUAUUUCAUUCUAUGUUAGCACAAUAUUUUCGUUGACCAAUACUUCUAUAUUUAGAAGCUCACACUACUAGAAAUAUGGCCAAAGGGCACCGACAGAUGGCCACUGAUACGCAAACGGUUCUUGUAACUUUUGUGAUCCACUGAUAGCAAAUGUUGGUGGCAAAAAAUUGGAUUUGUCACUGAUGAUCAGUGGCUAAUAUGUUUAUUAAUAAACUAAAUAAUAAAAUAAUAAUAUAGCUGAUCACUUUUCAUCCCCACUUAUUUAGUAUUAUUAUUUUUUUGGCAAUAGAGAAUUUAAUAUACUAAUAGCAACAGAUUCUCAAACACACACUCUCUCUCUCGCUCUCUUUUUCUCGGGGAGAGUGGGAGACUCUCUCAGCAGCUAAACAAACAAUGAAAAAACUCAAACUCUCUUGCUCUCUCUUUCUUCUUCACUGCCAUUUCUCAAACUCCGGUGACCUGCGACACGACCGAUAAUAAUGAAUCUAGGGUGAGCCGAUCUACAAAACCCACAUGGCCAUAGGACGGGAAAUUAGCCAACGCGCCAUCACCAAUGGUUUGCUGACUUCAACAGCUGCCGAUCGUGUUCUGCAAACGGGUUCCACCUUUCUUUACUCUGAAUCUUGUUCUAGUCAUUGUUGAGAAGGUGGAGUCUAGGUCAUGCUCCCAGUGGAGGGUUCCCCCUGUUCCCAAUGAGUUUGAUUAAUUGGCUCAUAACAAGGUGUAUGGUGAUUUAGGAAGAUUGUGGUGAUGCAGCUGUGGAGACUUUGAAUCAGUUCCUUGGUUGGUGCAAGCUCUCAUUAUUUUUCGUAAGCUGCAUUUAAAACUUAUCUGAGAAGUUGAAAAAACACAGAAUCAAGCAAGAGGUCUUGUGCGAUAAAAAGAGCGUUUGGCUGUUAUGAAGACAAGUUCAUUCCAAUUCCUAUUCCUCUCAUUGAUCUCCAUCAUCAGGCAUUCCUACAAGUAAAUCUGGGUUAUCAUCAUCAAUUGUAUCCUAAUUUCUUUUGCUUCUGUUUUUCUCUGAUGCAGCAAGAGUAGGAGGCUUAGAUGGAGUAUUGAUACCUUCGGCCUGGGAUCAAAAAUGGUACUGGAAAUCAUAACGGCAAACACUGAUACUGAUCAAACCUUGGUGGGAGGGGCCGUAAAUUAUGUAUAGACAUGAUGUUCUAUUUUUUUAAGUUUGUAAAUAUGAUAAAGCGAGCUAUGUAAUUCAGUGAUGCAAUAGAAAUAUUUACUAUCAAUUUUUAUGAGGUUAAAUAAUUUAUUUAUUGGUGUAAUA